ACUUAAAUUGAAGAGUUUGAUCAUGGCUCAGAUUGAACGCUGGCGGCAGGCCUAACACAUGCAAGUCGAGCGGUAGCACAGAGAGCUUGCUCUCGGGUGACGAGCGGCGGACGGGUGAGUAAUGUCUGGGAAACUGCCUGAUGGAGGGGGAUAACUACUGGAACGGUAGCUAAUACCGCAUAA
This 183-nucleotide ribosomal RNA is filed under the name Klebsiella pneumoniae. RNAcentral's name for it is "partial 16S ribosomal RNA". It matches the Rfam family "Bacterial small subunit ribosomal RNA", at positions 1 to 176 of the family's 1533-position model. Lineage: Bacteria; Pseudomonadati; Pseudomonadota; Gammaproteobacteria; Enterobacterales; Enterobacteriaceae. The record is from RNAcentral.